This 870-nucleotide long non-coding RNA is filed under the name Heterocephalus glaber (naked mole-rat). RNAcentral's name for it is "lncRNA (ENSHGLG00000049600.1)". The record is from RNAcentral. Lineage: Eukaryota; Metazoa; Chordata; Mammalia; Rodentia; Bathyergidae.
GCCGAGCCCUGCCCGCCUGGUUCUCAUUUAGAGCAAGCCCAGCUACAGCGAGGACAUUCCAGAGGGGACAGUCAGACGCCAGUCCGCCCAGGGCUGGGGAAGCUAGGCUACGGGUCCCGCCAGGGUCAGAGGGCUCCGGACCAGGCUUCCUGCCCUGGCCACAUCUCCAAGCGGCUUAACCCUUCCAGGAGCAUGGCCGCUCUUCUGUGGCCUGCUGACCACAGCCACCACUGACCCUCGGCCUGAGCCGAGGCCUCCUGGCUCCCAGGCCCCUGUCCCUGCCCAGCCUGGUCUCCCUGCUGCCCUGCCCGUGGGCUUCCAGCUGUGGUCCACGCCUUCCGGGUUGAGGAGGCAGGGGACAGGACAAUUGCCACUAAUUAGGUGUCAGCUGCGGCUGCCACAGGCUCGGCCCUCCCGGGAGACGCAGGUGGAAGGCUCUCUCCCUGGAACGAGCCUGCCCUUCUCAGCCUGGAGUGAGUUAAUUAUACGCUGCGGCCUAAUGACACAAGUAGCGUUCCUGAAUUCCGCCAAAGUGACAAUUUCCCAUCCACAGAAAGCCGGCUGCCCGAGCUGCUCCCAGCUGGGCGUCCGGGCACGAAGCUCCCUGUUUGUGAUGGCCCCUCCCUCCGCUCCUGCUCCGCACCUGGAUUAUGGUACUCGGCUUGCUCAUCAAAAUAAAUUCUUUCUCCUGUCACUUCAACCCCCAAAGCUCCGAGGCAGGUGCAGGACCCAGGAGGGCAGUCACAGCCCUGAGCCGGCUACCACCUGGCCCUAGACCCAUCAGACAUGGAGGAGUGGCCCACACGGGGGAGGGCCAGGCCUGUCCCUGCUCUCCUGGAGGAUGAAUGGGCUGCUCUGCCUGGAGCUUCC